AAGGUGAUGCCUGCCCAGUGACUUCAGUUUAACGGCCGCGGUAUCCUAACCGUGCGAAGGUAGCGCAAUCAAUUGUCCCAUAAAUCGGGACCUGUAUGAAUGGCUAAACGAGGCCUUAACUGUCUCUUACAGAUAGUCAAUGAAAUUGAUCUUCCUGUGCAAAAGCAGGAAUAAGCACAUAAGACGAGAAGACCCUGUGGAACUUAAAAACUAGUAGCCACCAUGCAUAAACACUAGCCUAAUAGGUCUACAAUUACAAAUCCAAAUACUGGCUCACAUUUUUUGGUUGGGGCGACCUUGGAGAAGAAAAAACCCUCCAAAAACAAGACCACACCUCUUAACUAAGAGCAACUCCUCAAAGUACUAACAGUGACCAGACCCAAUAAAAAUUGAUCGAUGGACCAAGCUACCCCAGGGAUAACAGCGCAAUCUCUCCCAAGAGCCCCUAUCGACGGA
This 456-nucleotide ribosomal RNA is filed under the name Accipiter cooperii (Cooper's hawk). RNAcentral describes it as "partial 16S ribosomal RNA". It matches the Rfam family "Bacterial large subunit ribosomal RNA", at positions 1849 to 2512 of the family's 2925-position model. The record is from RNAcentral. Lineage: Eukaryota; Metazoa; Chordata; Aves; Accipitriformes; Accipitridae.